UACGUAGGGGGCAAGCGUUGUCCGGAUUUAUUGGGCGUAAAGAGCGUGUAGGCGGCUUUACAGGUCCGUUGUGAAAACUCGAGGCUCAACCUCGAGACGCCGGUGGAAACCGUAAAGCUAGAGUCCGGAAGAGGAGAGUGGAAUUCCUGGUGUAGCGGUGAAAUGCGCAGAUAUCAGGAGGAGCACCCGUGGCGAAAGCGGCUCUCUGGGACGGUACUGACGCUGAGACGCGAAAGCGUGGGGAGCAAACAGG
RNAcentral lists this ribosomal RNA (253 nucleotides) under uncultured bacterium. RNAcentral's name for it is "partial 16S ribosomal RNA". It matches the Rfam family "Bacterial small subunit ribosomal RNA", at positions 524 to 776 of the family's 1533-position model. The record is from RNAcentral.